This 503-nucleotide ribosomal RNA is filed under the name uncultured bacterium. Its description in RNAcentral is "partial 16S ribosomal RNA". It matches the Rfam family "Bacterial small subunit ribosomal RNA", at positions 30 to 523 of the family's 1533-position model. The record is from RNAcentral.
AUUGAAAGCUGGCGGCAGGCUUAACACAUGCAAGUCGAGCGGGGUGAUGGUGCUUGCACUAUCACUUAGCGGCGGACGGGUGAGUAAUGCUUAGGAAUCUGCCUAUUAGUGGGGGACAACAUCUCGAAAGGGAUGCUAAUACCGCAUACGUCCUACGGGGGAAAGCAGGGGAUCACUUGUGACCUUGCGCUAAUAGAUGAGCCUAAGUGGGAUUAGCUAGUUGGUGGGGUAAAGGCAUACCAAGGCGACGAUCUGUAGCGGGUCUGAGAGGAUGAUCCGGCACACUGGGACAGAGACACGGCCCAGACUCCUACGGGAGGCAGCAGUGGGGAAUAUUGGACAAUGGGGGGAACCCUGAUCCAGCCAUGCCGCGUGUGUGAAGAAGGCCUUAUGGUUGUAAAGCACUUUAAGCGAGGAGGAGGCUCUUUUGGUUAAUACCCAGAAUGAGUGGACGUUACUCGCAGAAUAAGCACCGGCUAACUCUGUGCCAGCCGCCGCCGUAA